GACGAACGCUGGCGGCGUGCUUAACACAUGCCAGUCGAACGGAAAGGCCCCUUUGGGGGUACUCGAGUGGCGAACGGGUGAGUAACACGUGCGUAACCUGCCCUUGACUUCGGGAUAACUUCAGGAAACUGGGGCUAAUACCGGAUAGGAAUCCUUGCUGCAUGGUGGGGGUUGGAUAGCUUCGGCGGUUUUGGAUGGACUCGCGGCUUAUCAGCUUGUUGGUGGGGUAGUGGCUUACCAAGGCUUCGACGGGUAGCCGGCCUGAGAGGGCGACCGGCCACAUUGGGACUGAGAUACGGCCCAGACUGCGACGGGAGGCAGCAGUGGGGAAGCUUGCACAAGGGGCGGAAGCCGGAUGCAGCAACGCCGCGUGCGGGAUGACGGCCUUCGGGUUGUAAACCGCUUUCAGCAGGGGCGAAGCUUGUGGUGACGGUACCUGCAGAAGAAGCACCGGCUAACUACGUG
Molecule: ribosomal RNA, 465 nt
Filed under: uncultured bacterium
Lineage: Bacteria
Description: partial 16S ribosomal RNA
Rfam family: Bacterial small subunit ribosomal RNA
Source: RNAcentral